Molecule: microRNA precursor, 57 nt
Filed under: Xenopus laevis (African clawed frog)
Lineage: Eukaryota; Metazoa; Chordata; Amphibia; Anura; Pipidae
Also listed under: 1 other name
Description: Xla-Mir-128-P2c_pre stem-loop
Rfam family: mir-128 microRNA precursor family
Source: RNAcentral
CGGGCCCGGAGCGCUGUCUGAGAGGGUUUAAGUUUCUCACAGUGAACCGGUCUCUUU